RNAcentral lists this transfer RNA (86 nucleotides) under Rhodospirillum rubrum. Its description in RNAcentral is "tRNA-Tyr". It matches the Rfam family "tRNA". Rfam says of the family: Transfer RNA (tRNA) molecules are approximately 80 nucleotides in length. Their secondary structure includes four short double-helical elements and three loops (D, anti-codon, and T loops). RNAcentral also lists the same sequence under 3 other names. Lineage: Bacteria; Pseudomonadati; Pseudomonadota; Alphaproteobacteria; Rhodospirillales; Rhodospirillaceae. The record is from RNAcentral.
GGAGGGGUGGUCGAGUGGUUAAAGGCACCGGACUGUAAAUCCGGCGGGGUAACCCUACGCUGGUUCGAAUCCAGCCCCCUCCACCA